This 253-nucleotide ribosomal RNA is filed under the name uncultured bacterium. Its description in RNAcentral is "partial 16S ribosomal RNA". It matches the Rfam family "Bacterial small subunit ribosomal RNA", at positions 524 to 776 of the family's 1533-position model. The record is from RNAcentral.
UACGUAGGGUGCGAGCGUUGUCCGGAAUUAUUGGGCGUAAAGAGCUCGUAGGCGGCUUGUCGCGUCGGAUGUGAAAGCCCGGGGCUUAACUCCGGGUCUGCAUUCGAUACGGGCAGGCUAGAGUGCGGUAGGGGAGACUGGAAUUCCUGGUGUAGCGGUGAAAUGCGCAGAUAUCAGGAGGAACACCGGUGGCGAAGGCGGGUCUCUGGGCCGAUACUGACGCUGAGGAGCGAAAGCUAGGGGAGCAAACGGG